Long non-coding RNA from Lycium barbarum (goji berry), 1605 nucleotides. RefSeq lists it as uncharacterized. The record is from RefSeq and is a predicted model, not a curated record. Lineage: Eukaryota; Viridiplantae; Streptophyta; Magnoliopsida; Solanales; Solanaceae. The transcript has 3 exons.
CUCCUCUAUUAUGAACCUCAAGGUCUGACACACCUUUUCAGCAAACAAUUCCUGAGACCUUAACAAAUUCAGUAUGGGCUUUUCCGGAACAAGAACUUACUGAAUUUUGAUGCCUCUGCACCCAAGUGUGUGGCCUAGUGGUCAAUGAUGUUAGAACCCGUAUUUUUGUACAGUGGAAUAAUCCGUAUUUAUUUAUGAUAAGCUAAGGACAAAAUUAUUUUGGGAUACAAAGUCGGGAUUCUUGACCUUCGAUUUUAUUUUGAGAUAUAAGUUGUGCAUGAAUUUAUUGGUAUGGAACAAUUAGGAAAAAAAUUCGGGACCAAAAGUGAUAAAAAUUGGAAGAUAAAAAUCAUCCACAAUUUCCAUGGUUGGCCCACACAAAUGGUGUUCAAUUUUAAUUGGGACAACACAUUAGUGUGGGCCAAGGGGCAAGUGUACAAUUCAUUUAAGUAUUAAAAGAUGACCACAAUUUUAUUUCACUUCAUUUGCUUCAUUCACCACACUUGAACAAAAAGAAAGUUGAAGACCCUCCAUUGAAGGCUCUCGGCCAACAGCCCUGAAAAUUCACUUCCAUUUUUAGCUCUCCAAAAAUUAAUUUCUUGGUGUUAAACCACUAAUUAGAGGUCCCUAAGUAACUUGGAAGCAUUGUUGGGGUGAUCAAGUCCUUCAUUCAAGAGAUUGGAAAACCCUAGCCUAUUAAAAGUUGAAGAGAAAAAGAUCGUGGGCAGCCCGAAUCAUAGGUUGGAUUUAGCUUGAGUUUGGAUCGUAUUGGAGAGCGUUUGAGGUACGGACGCACAGCCUGGUGAUCCACCUGUUUAGGACACCCUUUCUGCUAUUCGGAGUGCUCCUCUCUUUCCGGAGCUUAUACUUUUGGUAUAUAUAUUUAUUAGUGCAUUUGUAUAUAUUCGUUCAUGGGUACAGCGGGGCCCUGUCCCGUCAUAUGAUUCUGUCGGUCUGUUUAGAGGUCUGUGGACAUGUUUGUGGGUUAGGGUCUUUCUGUAUGGAUAGGUGUAUAUGUUGUUUGGGCGAUCCCAUACGCCGAGGCGGCCGGUCCGCAUAUGUUUAUACGUUACUUUGCUAGCCCUGUGUGGCCUUUGUUGGUGUUUGCUGUGUACAGGGUUAUUUUGGAUAGUCUGUAAAACAGAGGAAACUCUGCCGAAAUUUUUCUGGGAAUUGUCUAAAUUUAGAAUAUAGCCUCGUCGGCUUCUGGUAUAUACUUGAAUGCAUUUGAUAGAUGGGUUUGGGUACCCAGAUCGGGCACUAGUCACGGCCUACGGUGUUGGGUCGUGACAAAUGAAGUGGGUUGAGAACCAUCGGGUCUCAGGUUCAAAUUGCAGCAGAGACAAAAACACUGGGUGAUUUCUUCCCAUCUGUCCUAGCCUUGGUGGAUAGAGUUACCCGGUACCUCUUGUUAGUAGGAGGCGGCAGGUACCCCGUGAAAUUAGUCAACGUGUGCCCAAGCUGGCCCGACACCACGGUUAUCCAAAAAAAAAAAAAGAAGAAUUUUAAUGCCUCCUUUCACCUAAAUACCCACCCAACUGUCAUAAUUUUUGGCAAGGCUGACUGGGACAAGACAUCAGUGUGGAUUGAAGCUAUGAUGCACAG